UGAUUUUGAAGAGAUUGUUUUAGUAUUAUCUUAUGUCUGUAGUAUUAUUUUGUGGAUAGCGGUGUUAGUUUAUUUUGCAUACUGUACUAGUCUUUACGCAUUUAUGUUUUGUGAUUGCUAUACUGUUAUCAGUCCUAAGCCAGGGGUCUAUUGGAAAAAGCCUCUCUAAUUCACCUGAGGGAGUGAUAUGGUCUGCGUACACUUCAUCUUCC
RNAcentral lists this long non-coding RNA (212 nucleotides) under Capsicum annuum. RNAcentral describes it as "long non-coding RNA (CANN_LNC020314)". Lineage: Eukaryota; Viridiplantae; Streptophyta; Magnoliopsida; Solanales; Solanaceae. The record is from RNAcentral.